Long non-coding RNA from Taeniopygia guttata (zebra finch), 2137 nucleotides. Lineage: Eukaryota; Metazoa; Chordata; Aves; Passeriformes; Estrildidae. The record is from Ensembl.
CGAGCGGGGCGGGGGCACCCGAGGGUGCCGGGCGGGCAGUGAGGUGCUGGUCCGUGUUAGCCGCACGGAUUAGCCACGGUACGUGUGUGCACCGAGCACAAAGCUGGCAGGCGGUAACCUACGCUGCCUUCUCUACUCCCACAGCUCUCUGGAGCUCCGAGCGCCGCUCCCCGUGCGAGGCCGAGCCGGUCGGGGCUGCGGGGCGGCGCCGGGAGCGCAAGAGCCCGUCCGGGAGCUGGAGCUGAAGCGGGAGGAGCAGCGCACCGGUACGGAGAAGCGAGAAAUGCUGCCCAAGGGCCGGAUCUUGGAUGAACCCGUUUCAGGCACGCACCGCAAACUUCAGCGCGGUAACGGGGCCGAUCCUCGCUGCCGACGCUGUCGCGACACGCGGCAGCAGCAGGAACGUGCUGGGGCCGCGGGCUGCAGGAUCCUGCCCCGAGCCAGCCGGAUGCCUCGUGCGGCCGGAGGAGGCGGGCGGUGGGCAUCAGGGAGCACCAGGAAUCUCAUGUUCACGUCUUCCCUCUCCGAGAGUUCUUUGUUUCACAGCUUGCCCUUGCAGACCAGUGCGUCCUGGCUCCGAUCCCGCAGACCUCCAGAGAGGUGACCUCUUUAAGGAACGCUGCUGUCACCGGUCUUUUAGUGAUGCAGAAACACUAUUUAUUAAUGAAGUGCAACACAGUGUUAAAGAUUCUUAAUGGAGUAUGGAAAGGAUAUUCAGAUUAACGUACUUCACUUCUUUUGGACUCAUUUCCCACUGUAUUUUCAUAGUGCUUCACUGCUUAGUAUUAAAAGCUUCUGUUCACCGUGCUUGGGAUUGACCCCAGUGCUGCCUGCAGAGGUGACCAACCCCUUUGCACCCUUAACCGCCUCACUGUGCUCAGCUGUUUCCACGGGAGCAGACAGGCAGUGUUUCUCCGGGCACUGUCAUCAGGCAUGGCCAGUUCUGUUCUCCAUCUGCACACCAGUUCAGGCAUGUUUAGCUCCCUACAUAGUGUCUCUCCUCAUCAAUACACUAAGAAAUCAACUCUAGGAUAUCCAGAAAUUGCAAUGCAAAGUAAGAAGGCAAAAUGAAUAAUACAGAAAUAAGCUAUACUUUCAAGAAUUUCUGUGCUCUUAGUAUAGUAUGAGAAAUUUGUUACUGUGACUGAUAAAGUAAGUCAAAAAACUUACCAGUUUAGGCAAAUCUCAUGCUUCUGUGCACAUUCCACCUAGGUUCAGGAGGGAAAUCCCAGGCAUGCUCCUUUCUUUCUUGCUAUCAGAGGUUCAUACAGACAAUAGUAUGGCACAGAAUGAUCCAGAGACAGUAGCUGUGAUUCACUACCCUUUAUCCAAAGCUUCCUAAAAGAUCCAUAGCUGAUGGAUCACUGUCAUUCUUUUGCUGCUUCUGGCAGAGUGGUUCCUGUAUGAUACCUCUUGUUAUGCUUCAAGGUGUCAAUUUUGUGGGUUGUUUAUAAGGUUUUAUGUGUCCACGAGGCAGAUGCGAGCCAGGUGUUGUCCUCCUGGCUGACUGGCUCUGUGAUGCCAGCCCAAGCUUUGCUGAAAAUUGACCCAUGGGUGAAAACCUUAAUCUGGUGAGAUCUUCUCUAGAGUAUGUUCAAUUUCACUGCCUUGCCUUUGGACUGGAAGACUUUUGAAUUACUGUGUUAAGAAAGAGCCCCACAACUCAAGCCAGUCUACAAUGGUUGCUUCCCUCCCUGGCCAAAGUCACAUAAAUUCCAGAGCAUUUUUAGACCACACAGUAAAUUCCAGUGACAAUUCUGUUUCCCCAGAAAUUAUGAAGAAGUAACUGGCUUUAGUGCCAAAACCCAAAACAUUUCAUUAAUUACAGGCAUUUUCUACUCAGAGUUUAUGUUGGGUCAGAUGUAAUAAUUGUGCUUCACUAAAGACACAAAAGCCUCACUUCAGCAUGUUGCACACCUCGUCCUUAAUCCUCAUCCUCUCCUCAGCAGAGACAGCAAAAUAGACACUGCAAAAUACCUACUAGAAGCCCCCUUCCCAUGUCAUUGAAAAUGUAAAGAAAAGAUUGAAUAUUUUACUUCUUUGGAAAAAUAGAAAAACCUUUGUAAUUCUGCCCAGCAACACUAGGACCAAAAAGAGUAUCAGUGUUUUGCCAUUAAAAAUUUGCCACUUUGAUGAA